CAGGUACAGAGGGAUGCUACCGGGCGACCGGAUGCGGAUCUCGAAAGCCUGUCCCAGUUCGGACUGGAGUCUGCAACCCGACUCCACGAAGUUGGAUUCGCUAGUAAUCGCGCAUCAGCCAUGGCGCGGUGAAUACGUUCCCGGGCCUUGUACACACCGCCCGUCAAGCCAUGGGAGCCGGGGGCGCCUGAAGUCCGGGACCGCGAGGAGCGUCCUAGGGCAAAACUGGUGACUGGGGCUAAGUCGUAACAAGGUACC
This 258-nucleotide ribosomal RNA is filed under the name uncultured bacterium. RNAcentral describes it as "partial 16S ribosomal RNA". It matches the Rfam family "Bacterial small subunit ribosomal RNA", at positions 1234 to 1500 of the family's 1533-position model. The record is from RNAcentral.